Molecule: long non-coding RNA, 195 nt
Organism: Fundulus heteroclitus (mummichog)
Lineage: Eukaryota; Metazoa; Chordata; Actinopteri; Cyprinodontiformes; Fundulidae
Exons: 3
Source: RefSeq, a predicted model, not a curated record
AGAUACACUGCAAUAAGGAACUAAAAUGUAAAGCAAUACCCCCUGAACUCGAGGGACAGAGGGGGCGUGGGCAGGACGAGACAUGAAGGCAUCUGAUUGGUUCUUUUGAUUUGGACCAAAUGAUUGGAUAGGGGGGAAGGACUUUUGUCACCCAGCAUAACAAAAAGUGUUUCUGAACAGGAUUACCAACUAUAG